UUAUAUAUUGGGGGGGGGGGGGGGGGACAAAAAAAAACACUAGUUGGGGGGGAAAAAAACCGCCGCAUCUUUUUUAUAAUAUCCCCCGCCCUUUACCCCCCCCCUUUACCGGGGGGGGAAAAAAGCGGGGGGGGGGUUUUUUUUUGGGACCCUCCCCGGGGUUUUUUAAGAAUGAACCCCUUGCGGUUUAGAUUUAAAGUAUAGUUGGGGGGGGGGAAAAUGGCCCUCCCACAAGGGGGGAGGAUUUUAAAAGGUGGUUUUGGAAAGGGAGGAUUUCAACCCCCCUGGGGGAUUGGGGACCCGGCCCCAGACUUCUUUCGGGAGGGCCAGCCGUGGGGAAAUAUUGGACAAAUGGGGGAAAGCCUGAUCCACCAAUUCCCACGUGUGUGAAGAAGCCUGGAGGGUUGUAAAAGCACUUUCAAUUGGGAGGAAACCAGCUGGGUUAAUAGCCCUGCUCUUGACAUUACCUUCAGAAGAAGCACCGGCUAACUCCGUCCCAGCAGCCGCGGUAAUACGGAGGGUGCGAGCGUUAAUCGGAAUUACUGGGCGUAAAGCGUACGUAGGCGGUUAUUUAAGUCAGAUGUGAAAGCCCCGGGCUCAACCUGGGAACUGCAUUUGAUACUGGAUAACUAGAGUUUGAUAGAGGAGAGUAGAAUUUCUGGUGUAGCGGUGAAAUGCGUAGAGAUCAGAAGGAAUACCAGUGGCGAAGGCGGCUCUCUGGAUCAAAACUGACGCUGAGGUACGAAAGCGUGGGUAGCAAACAGGAUUAGAUACCCUGGUAGUCCACGCCGUAAACGAUGUCAACUAGCCGUUGGGUCCAAUUAAGGACUUAGUGGUGCAGCUAACGCAUUAAGUUGACCGCCUGGGGAGUACGGCCGCAAGGCUAAAACUCAAAUGAAUUGACGGGGGCCCGCACAAGCGGUGGAGCAUGUGGUUUAAUUCGAUGCAACGCGAAGAACCUUACCUACCCUUGACAUACUAAGAACUUUCCAGAGAUGGAUUGGUGCCUUCGGGAGCUUAGAUACAGGUGCUGCAUGGCUGUCGUCAGCUCGUGUCGUGAGAUGUUGGGUUAAGUCCCGUAACGAGCGCAACCCUUAUCCUUAUUUGCCAGCACGUAAUGGUGGGAACUCUAAGGAGACUGCCGGUGAUAAACCGGAGGAAGGUGGGGACGACGUCAAGUCAUCAUGGCCCUUAUGGGUAGGGCUACACACGUGCUACAAUGGCCGGUACAGAGGGCUGCGAACCUGCGAAGGUAAGCGAAUCUCAGAAAGCCGGUCUUAGUCCGGAUUACGGUCUGCAACUCGACUGCAUGAAGUCGGAAUCGCUAGUAAUCGCGAAUCAGAAUGUCGUCGUUUGCCCCCUUU
RNAcentral lists this ribosomal RNA (1364 nucleotides) under uncultured bacterium. RNAcentral's name for it is "partial 16S ribosomal RNA". It matches the Rfam family "Bacterial small subunit ribosomal RNA", at positions 83 to 1373 of the family's 1533-position model. The record is from RNAcentral.